GCUGCUUUCAUGGUGGCUGAUAAAUGUCUGUUUUUUGUGGAGCCCAAUACCCAUUUCUGCCCCUUCCCACGUGCUUCAGAUGUUCAUCAGCCCACAGAACACAACUAAGAGAUUACUCCAAAUCACAUCAAGCAACCGCUGUGGGAGGCAGCAGUGUGAUCAGAGCGAAGCUGUCCCAGGGAUAGAAGGAGGUACUGGGGCCGAACCUGUAGGGAUGAUUAGAGCGGGUUUGAGGUCCUUUCCAACCCAAACCAUUCUAUGAUCCUUUUUUGAUGGUCUUUCAGUGAGCUGAAAUAAUGCAUUUCUUAUUCCACUGCUGUCCGACCUACUUUGUCAUGCCAAGGAAACCCUGAGAGGUGUUUUGUCAUCUUCUUGUUAUCAAUUCCUUCCUCCCACUGCACUUCCCACACGAGGGGCUAUGUAGAACCUACCAGUCACUUGGUGGAGCUAAGGAAACUUUCGGAAGGUGUGGGGCAUAUCACUCUGGGCUUUAUUCUUGAGCACUGUCAGAGCUUUAAGUUGUGAGCAAACUCUUGCU
This 538-nucleotide long non-coding RNA is filed under the name Gallus gallus (chicken). Lineage: Eukaryota; Metazoa; Chordata; Aves; Galliformes; Phasianidae. The record is from RNAcentral.